This 584-nucleotide unclassified non-coding RNA is filed under the name Rhipicephalus microplus (southern cattle tick). RNAcentral's name for it is "transcription factor Adf-1-like, transcript variant X1". Lineage: Eukaryota; Metazoa; Arthropoda; Arachnida; Ixodida; Ixodidae. The record is from RNAcentral.
AGCGUGUCGCGGAGCGUUCAUUGCGUCACAUACGUCUGCCGAAGUCGAUAGCGGAGGUGGUUGCACACGGCGGCUGUGCGCAACGUGUACGUGUACACGAUGUGAUAAAAACGGCAACUUAUCGCGUUGUCGACGCGGUAGAGGGGUAGAGGCUGCGGCGAUCUAGUUCCACCCACGCGCACGCGUAGAACUCGAUCGGGCCGGAGAUCCCGAUCUACCCCAAAUUUGAGCCGCUGAAUUAUGUCGGACCACCCGUUCGCUGUGGAGCUCUGUAAACGUGUUGAGCGCUAUCCGGAAUUAUACGAUAUAUCUCACGAAGGAUUUCACAACGAGAAUGCGCAGCGGCUCGCAUGGAAGGCGAUCGCCAGCGAGCUUGGAGCGCAACCGUCCAAGUGCAAAACGAAAUGGAAGGCCAUAAAACACCAGUUUGUCAAGGCAAGGAAAGACUGUACUACAGCGUGGGAAUUGCGGUCUUCACUGAAGUUUCUGGAUGAAGCAGCAAACAGAAAGACUAGCUCACUGACCGAUGAUGCACUAUUUAUCGUCACAAGAAGUGCUCUAGAAAGUGCCAAAGCUGGAAAGCC